AAGGAUUUAAGUUAAGUUAAACUUAUAACCUUCAAAGUUAUUAAUAAAGUAAAUUCUUUAAGCCUUA
RNAcentral lists this transfer RNA (67 nucleotides) under Quedius lateralis. RNAcentral's name for it is "tRNA-Trp". Lineage: Eukaryota; Metazoa; Arthropoda; Insecta; Coleoptera; Staphylinidae. The record is from RNAcentral.